UGCAAUAGCUGUAUCUGCCCUUAGCUUCAUCUCAAGCAGAUAUCUCAGUCCUCAGUUAGGUUCAAUUUCUUUGCCUUCAACGUCAAACUUUAUCUGGCAAGCACCAUCAAAUUCAAUAUGGAAGAGAUAAAAACGAUAACAACAAUAAUUUAAACAGAGAGAAGAGCACAGAAUAUCAGUCAAUGGAUUGUUGAAGCCAUUUUUUAUCAUCCACGUGUUUGGAGUAUACGGAGUUAUACAGGAUCCCCGUAUUUUUAAAUCACGUGAGGGACACUCUCAACCUUUGUUUGGGGUACAGUUCAAUCCUUUUCUUCCUGAGAA
Molecule: long non-coding RNA, 321 nt
Organism: Amphimedon queenslandica
Lineage: Eukaryota; Metazoa; Porifera; Demospongiae; Haplosclerida; Niphatidae
Exons: 3
Source: RefSeq, a predicted model, not a curated record